UCCUACGGGAGGCAGCAGUAGGGAAUCUUCCACAAUGGACGAAAGUCUGAUGGAGCAACGCCGCGUGAGUGAAGAAGGGUUUCGGCUCGUAAAACUCUGUUGUUAAAGAAGAACAUAUCUGAGAGUAACUGUUCAGGUAUUGACGGUAUUUAACCAGAAAGCCACGGCUAACUACGUGCCAGCAGCCGCGGUAAUA
RNAcentral lists this ribosomal RNA (196 nucleotides) under uncultured Lactobacillus sp. RNAcentral's name for it is "partial 16S ribosomal RNA". It matches the Rfam family "Bacterial small subunit ribosomal RNA", at positions 337 to 525 of the family's 1533-position model. Lineage: Bacteria; Bacillati; Bacillota; Bacilli; Lactobacillales; Lactobacillaceae. The record is from RNAcentral.